CACGCGCGCUACACUGAUGUA
Molecule: non-coding RNA, 21 nt
Filed under: Arabidopsis thaliana (thale cress)
Lineage: Eukaryota; Viridiplantae; Streptophyta; Magnoliopsida; Brassicales; Brassicaceae
Source: RNAcentral